GCACAAGCGGUGGAGCAUGUGGUUUAAUUCGAUGCAACGCGAAGAACCUUACCUGGGCUUGACAUCCCGGGAAUCCCUUGGAAACAAGGGAGUGCCCUUCGGGGAACCUGGAGACAGGUGCUGCAUGGCUGUCGUCAGCUCGUGUCGUGAGAUGUAGGGUUAAGUCCCGCAACGAGCGCAACCCUUGUCUUUAAUUGCCAUCAUUGAGUUGGGCACUUUAAAGAGACUGCCGGUGUUAAACCGGAGGAAGGUGGGGAUGACGUCAAGUCCUCAUGGCCUUUAUGACCUGGGCUACACACGUGCUACAAUGGUUGGUACAACGAGUUGCGAGUCGGUGACGGCGAGCUAAUCUCUUAAAGCCAAUCUCAGUUCGGAUUGUAGGCUGCAACUCGCCUACAUGAAGUCGGAAUCGCUAGUAAUCGCGGAUCAGCACGCCGCGGUGAAUACGUUCCCGGGCCUU
RNAcentral lists this ribosomal RNA (460 nucleotides) under uncultured Syntrophus sp. RNAcentral's name for it is "bacterial SSU rRNA". It matches the Rfam family "Bacterial small subunit ribosomal RNA", at positions 923 to 1382 of the family's 1533-position model. The record is from RNAcentral. Lineage: Bacteria; Pseudomonadati; Thermodesulfobacteriota; Syntrophia; Syntrophales; Syntrophaceae.